CAUCGUUGCCCCAAUGCCUUAGCCUUGUGCUAGGCACUGAGCGGGGCGAAUGUUGGCUUCCCGCGAGCAAAGCCUCACGGUUGGUUGAAAGUUGAGUUUGUGGUGGAGGGCGCCGCGAUGGAUGGUGGUUGAGUAAAAUCUCGAGACCGAUCGUGCGUGUCACCCCCACCGGCUUUGGGACUCUGUGACCCAUGAGCUCCGUUGGUCGCCCAUAACGGGA
This 220-nucleotide ribosomal RNA is filed under the name Liparia splendens. Lineage: Eukaryota; Viridiplantae; Streptophyta; Magnoliopsida; Fabales; Fabaceae. The record is from RNAcentral.